AAAAUGACUCUCGGCAACGGAUAUCUCGGCUCUUGCAUCGAUGAAGAACGUAGCGAAAUGCGAUACUUGGUGUGAAUUGCAGAAUCCCGUGAACCAUCGAGUCUUUGAACGCAAGUUGCGCCCAAAGCCGUUAGGCUGAGGGCACGCCUGCCUGGGUGUCACAC
RNAcentral lists this ribosomal RNA (164 nucleotides) under Mirbelia speciosa. RNAcentral describes it as "5.8S ribosomal RNA". It matches the Rfam family "5.8S ribosomal RNA". Rfam says of the family: 5.8S ribosomal RNA (5.8S rRNA) is a component of the large subunit of the eukaryotic ribosome. It is transcribed by RNA polymerase I as part of the 45S precursor that also contains 18S and 28S rRNA. Lineage: Eukaryota; Viridiplantae; Streptophyta; Magnoliopsida; Fabales; Fabaceae. The record is from RNAcentral.